This is a long non-coding RNA of Leptopilina heterotoma, 471 nucleotides long. RefSeq lists it as uncharacterized. The record is from RefSeq and is a predicted model, not a curated record. Lineage: Eukaryota; Metazoa; Arthropoda; Insecta; Hymenoptera; Figitidae. The transcript is spliced from 3 exons.
GUAUUGUUUUUUAAUGAAUAAAUAAAUAAGUAAAUAAAUAGUUUAAUUAUUUUAAUGCGAAUUAAUUUUUUUUCAGGUUUAAAUUAUAGGUGCAAUAUAUGACAGUAAGGAGAAGAAGAAAAUUAAAUUGUGCAUUGAGGUUAAAAAUUCCAACCAUACGGCAAGUCAUAAUAAAUUUGACACAUACCAUAAGGAAACGAGCGACACCAGUUCGGAAAAUUAAUUAGGAUAAAUAUUGUCUUGAAAUUUUAUUUUGGGCGCAAGCGCAGUUGCGUUUGGUGAGGGUACCUGGCAGCUCUGAUGCAUACAUUCGCCUCAAAAUGAAAAGAGCAGAACGAUUAUUACGUCGAAUCCAAAAACGAAUAUUAAAUUUGAGAAAAUUAUUUACUCGAAUUAACAUUUCACAUAGCUUCUAUUUUCAGUUUUCACUAAACAAUAAAUAACUAAUACACUGAAAAAAAAAAUUUAUUU